RNAcentral lists this ribosomal RNA (253 nucleotides) under uncultured bacterium. RNAcentral's name for it is "partial 16S ribosomal RNA". It matches the Rfam family "Bacterial small subunit ribosomal RNA", at positions 524 to 776 of the family's 1533-position model. The record is from RNAcentral.
UACGUAGGGUGCGAGCGUUAAUCGGAAUUACUGGGCGUAAAGCGUGCGCAGGCGGCGCGUUAAGACAGGUGUGAAAGCCCCGAGCUUAACUUGGGAAUUGCGCUUGUGACUGGCGUGCUGGAGUGUGGCAGAGGGAGGUGGAAUUCCACGUGUAGCAGUGAAAUGCGUAGAGAUCCGGAGGAACACCAGAGGCGAAGGCGGCGCGCUGGGCUGCAACUGACGCUGAACCACGAAAGCCAGGGUAGCGAACGGG